UACGUAGGGCGCAAGCGUUGUCCGGAAUUAUUGGGCGUAAAGAGCUCGUAGGCGGUUUGUCGCGUCUGCUGUGAAAACCUAAGGCUCAACCUUGGGCUUGCAGUGGGUACGGGCAGACUAGAGUGCGGUAGGGGGUGACUGGAAUUCCUGGUGUAGCGGUGGAAUGCGCAGAUAUCAGGAGGAACACCGAUGGCGAAGGCAGGUCACUGGGCCGCAA
RNAcentral lists this ribosomal RNA (217 nucleotides) under uncultured bacterium. Its description in RNAcentral is "partial 16S ribosomal RNA". It matches the Rfam family "Bacterial small subunit ribosomal RNA", at positions 524 to 739 of the family's 1533-position model. The record is from RNAcentral.